UUUCCGUAGGUGAACCUGCGGAAGGAUCAUUAAUGUGUUUGGGCCUCACGGCUCUUCAUUCCGACGCUGUGCGCCUUCGGGCUGCACGCUGAGGGAGCAUAUAUCCACCCCUGUGCACACACACGGUGGCGAGCUGGGUAACGGCUCGCCGCUGAUCUUUACACACGUCUAAAAGUCAUUGUAUGUUUAUUUGAGAUAAAAACACAACUCUCAGCAACGGAUCUCUUGGCUCUCGCAAUCGAUGAAGAACGCAGC
This 255-nucleotide unclassified non-coding RNA is filed under the name plant metagenome. Its description in RNAcentral is "partial contains small subunit ribosomal RNA, internal transcribed spacer 1, and 5.8S ribosomal RNA". The stretch from base 206 to 255 matches the Rfam family "5.8S ribosomal RNA", at positions 1 to 49 of the family's 154-position model. The record is from RNAcentral.